CCUUUUUCCAAAGUGGUGGCUGCACCAGCUUGCAUUCCCACCAACAAUGUAGGAGGGUUUCCCUUUCUUCACAUCCUCUCCAACACAUGUUGUUUACUGUCU
This is a long non-coding RNA of Mustela erminea (ermine), 102 nucleotides long. RefSeq lists it as uncharacterized. NCBI's taxonomy places the organism in Eukaryota, Metazoa, Chordata, Mammalia, Carnivora, Mustelidae. The record is from RefSeq and is a predicted model, not a curated record. The transcript is spliced from 3 exons.